This 493-nucleotide ribosomal RNA is filed under the name uncultured bacterium. RNAcentral's name for it is "partial 16S ribosomal RNA". It matches the Rfam family "Bacterial small subunit ribosomal RNA", at positions 27 to 507 of the family's 1533-position model. The record is from RNAcentral.
GGAUGAACGCUAGCUACAGGCUUAACACAUGCAAGUCGAGGGGAAACGACAUCGAAAGCUUGCUUUUGAUGGGCGUCGACCGGCGCACGGGUGAGUAACGCGUAUCCAACCUGCCCAUCACUUGGGAAUAACCUUGCGAAAGUAAGACUAAUACCCAAUGACAUCCCACGAAGACAUCUGAAUGGGAUUAAAGAUUUAUCGGUGAUGGAUGGGGAUGCGUCUGAUUAGCUUGUUGGCGGGGUAACGGCCCACCAAGGCAACGAUCAGUAGGGGUUCUGAGAGGAAGGUCCCCCACAUUGGAACUGAGACACGGUCCAAACUCCUACGGGAGGCAGCAGUGAGGAAUAUUGGUCAAUGGGCGAGAGCCUGAACCAGCCAAGUAGCGUGCAGGAUGACGGCCCUAUGGGUUGUAAACUGCUUUUAUAAGGGAAUAAAGUGGGUCUCGUGAGACUUUUUGCAUGUACCUUAUGAAUAAGGACCGGCUAAUUCCGUG